Molecule: ribosomal RNA, 250 nt
Filed under: uncultured bacterium
Lineage: Bacteria
Description: partial 16S ribosomal RNA
Rfam family: Bacterial small subunit ribosomal RNA
Source: RNAcentral
UACGAAGGGUGCAAGCGUUGUUCGGAAUUAUUGGGCGUAAAGGGCGCGUAGGCGGGCUUGUAAGUCGAUUGUGAAAUCCCCGGGCUUAACCCGGGACCUGCAAUCGAUACUGCAAGUCUUGAAUGCUUGAGGGGGUGGUGGUAUUCCAGGAGUAGAAGUGAAAUUCGUAGAUAUCUGGAGGAACAUCCGAGGCGAAGGCGGCCACCUGGCAAGACAUUGACGCUGAGGCGCGAAAGCGCGGGGAGCAAAC